Molecule: ribosomal RNA, 400 nt
Filed under: uncultured bacterium
Lineage: Bacteria
Description: bacterial SSU rRNA
Rfam family: Bacterial small subunit ribosomal RNA
Source: RNAcentral
UGGGGAAUAUUGGACAAUGGGGGCAACCCUGAUCCAGCCAUGCCGCGUGUGUGAAGAAGGCCUUUUGGUUGUAAAGCACUUUAAGCGAGGAGGAGGCUUUGUUUGUUAAUACCUUACAAAGUGGACGUUACUCGCAGAAUAAGCACCGGCUAACUCUGUGCCAGCAGCCGCGGUAAUACAGAGGGUGCGAGCGUUAAUCGGAAUUACUGGGCGUAAAGCGCGCGUAGGCGGUUCGUUAAGUCGGAUGUGAAAUCCCCGAGCUCAACUUGGGAAUGGCAUACGAUACUGGCGAGCUAGAGUAUGGGAGAGGAAGGUAGAAUUCCAGGUGUAGCGGUGAAAUGCGUAGAGAUCUGGAGGAAUACCGAUGGCGAAGGCAGCCUUCUGGCCUAAUACUGACGCU